UGGAAUGAACUUAAUGAAUGCUGCUUCAG
This 29-nucleotide non-coding RNA is filed under the name Rattus norvegicus (Norway rat). The record is from RNAcentral. Lineage: Eukaryota; Metazoa; Chordata; Mammalia; Rodentia; Muridae.